GACGAACGCUGGCGGCGUGCUUAACACAUGCAAGUCGAACGGAAAGGCCCUUCGGGGUACGCGAGUGGCGAACGGGUGAGUAACACGUGGGUGAUCUGCCCUGCACUUUGGGAUAAGCCUGGGAAACUGGGUCUAAUACCGAAUAGGACCACGCGCUUCAUGGUGUGUGGUGGAAAGCUUUUGCGGUGUGGGAUGGGCCCGCGGCCUAUCAGCUUGUUGGUGGGGGAAUGGCCUACCAAGGCGACGACGGGUAGCCGGCCUGAGAGGGUGAACGGCCACACUGGGACUGAGAUACGGCCCAGACUCCUACGGGAGGCAGCAGUGGGGAAUAUUGCACAAUGGGCGCAAGCCUGAUGCAGCGACGCCGCGUGAGGGAUGACGGCCUUCGGGUUGUAAACCUCUUUCAAUAGGGACGAAGCGCAAGUGACGGUACCUAUAGAAGAAGCACCGGCCAACUACGUG
This 462-nucleotide ribosomal RNA is filed under the name uncultured bacterium. Its description in RNAcentral is "partial 16S ribosomal RNA". It matches the Rfam family "Bacterial small subunit ribosomal RNA", at positions 28 to 507 of the family's 1533-position model. The record is from RNAcentral.